RNAcentral lists this ribosomal RNA (253 nucleotides) under uncultured bacterium. RNAcentral's name for it is "partial 16S ribosomal RNA". It matches the Rfam family "Bacterial small subunit ribosomal RNA", at positions 524 to 776 of the family's 1533-position model. The record is from RNAcentral.
UACGUAGGGGGCGAGCGUUGUCCGGAUUUAUUGGGCGUAAAGAGCUCGUAGGCGGUUUGGUAAGUCGGGUGUGAAAUCCCUCAGCUCAACUGAGGAAGUGCGCCCGAAACUGCUUAGCUUGAGUGCCGGAGAGGAUGGCGGAAUUCCCCAAGUAGAGGUGAAAUUCGUAGAUAUGGGGAGGAACACCGGUGGCGAAGGCGGCCAUCUGGACGGUAACUGACGCUGAGACGCGAAAGCGUGGGUAGCAAACAGG